UACUCGCUGGGUUCCGCCCCCUCCUAACCCUCCUCCUAUGACGGAGGAAGAGAAGGCCGUAGCCUUGGCACGACGGCUCGAGGAUCCUCCAAAGUGCCACUGCGGAGAGCAAGCCGUGAUAAACCCACGAAAUGAACAAGAGUUCAUUUGUCCUCUGCAUCGUGAAGUAAGUUUUAAGUUAACCUUGAAAUGUCAUGUCCUAUAUGUGUGUUCUAAUGUUUUGACUUUGUAGGAUCGUGAUUUUCUAAAGUGCUGUUUCACGGAGUGGGUCUAUGGUCCAAAGAGCCAUUGGCCAGAGCUAGAGAAGGAGGAGGUGCUAGAGUGGAAGAAGAAGAGGAUGUCUACUGCACCUCAUGUGAUGUGUAAAUGUGGUGUCGAAGCUAGCUAUG
Molecule: long non-coding RNA, 389 nt
Filed under: Sorghum bicolor (sorghum)
Lineage: Eukaryota; Viridiplantae; Streptophyta; Magnoliopsida; Poales; Poaceae
Description: long non-coding RNA (SBIC_LNC014827)
Source: RNAcentral